RNAcentral lists this ribosomal RNA (503 nucleotides) under uncultured bacterium. RNAcentral's name for it is "partial 16S ribosomal RNA". It matches the Rfam family "Bacterial small subunit ribosomal RNA", at positions 30 to 523 of the family's 1533-position model. The record is from RNAcentral.
AUUGAACGCUGGCGGCAUGCCUAACACAUGCAAGUCGAACGGCAGCAUGAUUUGUAGCAAUACGAAUUGAUGGCGAGUGGCGGACGGGUGAGUAAUACGUAGGAAUCUGCCCUAAAGCGGGGGAUAACCCGGGGAAACCCGGGCUAAUACCGCAUACUACUCUGAGGAGGAAAGCUUGGGAAACCAGGCACUUUAGGAGGAGCCUACGACUGAUUAGCUAGUUGGUGAGGUAAAGGCUCACCAAGGCGAUGAUCGGUAGCUGGUCUGAGAGGAUGACCAGCCACACUGGGACUGAGACACGGCCCAGACUCCUACGGGUGGCAGCAGUGGGGAAUCUUGGACAAUGGGGGCAACCCUGAUCCAGCGAUGCCGCGUGUGUGAAGAAGGCCUUCGGGUUGUAAAGCACUUUAGGCGGGGAAGAAGGUAAGUAGGUGAAUAGCCUAUUUGCUUGACGGUACCCGCAGAAUAAGCACCGGCUAACUCUGUGCCAGCAGCCGCCGCGG